Molecule: transfer-messenger RNA, 349 nt
Filed under: Anaerobium acetethylicum
Lineage: Bacteria; Bacillati; Bacillota; Clostridia; Lachnospirales; Lachnospiraceae
Description: Standard tmRNA
Rfam family: transfer-messenger RNA
About the family: Bacterial tmRNA, also known as 10Sa RNA or SsrA, is named for its dual tRNA and mRNA-like properties.
Source: Rfam by way of RNAcentral
GGGGUUGUACUGGUUUCGACGGGGGUUUUGAAAUUAAAGUAGCCACUCGCGGUCUGGGUCCGCGUCACCAAUCCGGAAAAUAAACAUAAACGCAGACGAAAAUUUAGCGUACGCUGCCUAGCGGCAGCUGUCGAACUUAAACCACUCACAGUUUAAGAGCUCGGCAUCAAAUGAUGUGAGGCACUUCGUUUCCAAAGCUUUGAGGGAAUGGAAGAAUUCAUGAAGCUACUAAAACUUAAAGCCUGUCAUUAGGCGGUAAGCAGAGGGAAUGUUAAAAUAAUGACUGUAGUGGGAGAAGUUUUAAUGGAUGGGCUUUCGGACAGGGGUUCGAUUCCCCUCAGCUCCAUAU